UGCAGGAUGACGGUCCUAUGGAUUGUAAACUGCUUUUGUACGGGAAGAAACCCCUCCUCCUGAGGAGGGCUGACGGUACCGUAAGAAUAAGGAUCGGCUAACUCCGUGCCAGCAGCCGCGGUAAUACGGAGGAUCCGAGCGUCAUCCGGAACCAUUGAGUUUAAAGGGUCCGUAGGCGGCCUUGUAAGUCAGUGGUGAAAUCUCACGGCUCAACCGUGAAAUGGCCAUUGAUACUGCGGGGCUUGAAUUAUCGGGAAGCAGCUAGAAUAUGUAGCGUAGCGGUGAAAUGCUUAGAUAUUACAUGGAAUACCGAUUGCGAAGGCAGGCUGCUACCGGUGGAUUGACGCUGAUGGACGAAAGCGUGGGGAGCGAACAGGAUUAGAUACCCUGGUAGUCCACGCCGUAAACGA
This 410-nucleotide ribosomal RNA is filed under the name uncultured bacterium. RNAcentral's name for it is "bacterial SSU rRNA". It matches the Rfam family "Bacterial small subunit ribosomal RNA", at positions 402 to 809 of the family's 1533-position model. The record is from RNAcentral.